Long non-coding RNA from Beta vulgaris subsp. vulgaris (sugar beet), 1169 nucleotides. RefSeq lists it as uncharacterized. The record is from RefSeq and is a predicted model, not a curated record. The transcript has 6 exons. Lineage: Eukaryota; Viridiplantae; Streptophyta; Magnoliopsida; Caryophyllales; Amaranthaceae.
UCCUUUUUACUCGUGUAUUUUUCAGGCACGAUUUCUUUAUCCAAAAGCUAGUGAGUAUUGGAUAUUGAAAUCAGUUGGAUUUAAAUGGAAGGAUUACAAGUGUUACUUGAAAGGAAAAUAUUAUAAUGACGAUGAAGACAUUACCAUUUUGCAUAAUCGGUGUCCAACGGAUGUAGAUAAUAAUCAGUGGAUUAGCCUUGUUAAUUUCUGGAGAUCCGAUGAGGGACAGAAGAGAAGCAAACGGGAAAAGAAUCACUUGCAAAGGCUAAAGCAAAGCCAAUCUCUACAACUGGUACAAAGAGUCAUGCUCGAGUUCGUGAAGAAUUGAAACAAAAGCUGAAUAGGAGUCCAACAAGAACUGAACUUUAUUUAGAGUGUCACCAACAUGAAAAUGAAGCAGAAAUAACGAAUCAAAUUAAGAACAUUGUUGCUGAACAAGGGGAUCAAUCAGUUAACUUAGAUAAUGAUCCUGUUUCAAAGGUAUUGGGCAAGGAUAAAUAUGGUCGCGUUCGUGGUUUAGGAUUGUUAGGUGUUAAGCCAUCAAAUUUUGUAGAACCUUCUGUUCCUUCCUAUUGUAAAGGCCUAAAGAUGUCCUCUAAAGAUGAAGGAGCAAUAUUGUAUUAUCUACGCGAACUAAGGAGGUGUGUUAAAAAUCAGGGGGCAACAAUAUUGAAGCUGAGAAGGAAGCUCCAAGAGCAUUUAGGUUCAGACUUUGAUGAUUCUGAAUUUGAUGACUUAAGUGAUGACUUAACUGAAUCUGGUUCAGAUGGUACUGAUUCAAACCAAGAAGAAGAUUUUGACAUCCCUACUAUUGAUAAGGCUGUUAAUAAAGCUUCAUCUUCCGGAAAUGACAACUCUCAUUAAUUAUUUAAUUCGCUAGUUGAAUUUUUGUCGAAAGAUUAAUUUUGGAUGCACCAAAACGAAAAAGUGAAUGUUGAAGAUUUGAGGACAUUGGAACUUCGUUUGGGCACAAGAAUGAAGAUAUAUUAAGUUUUGUUAUUAUUUAGUUGGAUUAUAAAUUUUAACAUUUGUUGUUCUACAUACAUUAGGUUGUGCCUUGAGUUUGUCAAAAUGAGUUAUACUUUUUGGUUAUUUUUAGUUUGAAGAUUUUAUAUAGAGUAUUAAACGAUUAAUUUUUUUCAUUAAUCAAUAUAUUAUAUUUUGGUUCA